GAUGAACGCUAGCGGGAGGCCUAACACAUGCAAGCCGAGCGGUAUUUGUUCUUCGGAACAGAGAGAGCGGCGCACGGGUGCGGAACACGUGUGCAACCUGCCUUUAUCUGGGGGAUAGCCUUUCGAAAGGAAGAUUAAUACCCCAUAAUAUAUUGAGUGGCAUCACUUGAUAUUGAAAACUCCGGUGGAUAGAGAUGGGCACGCGCAAGAUUAGAUAGUUGGUGAGGUAACGGCUCACCAAGUCAAUGAUCUUUAGGGGGCCUGAGAGGGUGAUCCCCCACCCUGGUACUGAGACACGGACCAGACUCCUACGGGAGGCAGCAGUGAGGAAUAUUGGACAAUGGGUUAGCGCCUGAUCCAGCCAUCCCGCGUGAAGGACGACGGCCCUAUGGGUUGUAAACUUCUUUUGUAUAGGGAUAAACCUACUCUCGUGAGAGUAGCUGAGGGUACUAUACGAAUAAGCACCGGCUCACUCCG
This 477-nucleotide ribosomal RNA is filed under the name uncultured bacterium. Its description in RNAcentral is "partial 16S ribosomal RNA". It matches the Rfam family "Bacterial small subunit ribosomal RNA", at positions 28 to 505 of the family's 1533-position model. The record is from RNAcentral.